Molecule: ribosomal RNA, 455 nt
Filed under: uncultured bacterium
Lineage: Bacteria
Description: bacterial SSU rRNA
Rfam family: Bacterial small subunit ribosomal RNA
Source: RNAcentral
UCGAGAAUCUUCGGCAAUGAGCGCAAGCUUGACCGAGCGACGCCGCGUGCGGGAUGAAGGCCUUCGGGUUGUAAACCGCUUUGGUCCGAAAGAAAGGGUAAAACUUGAUCGAUCGGAGAAACAAGGACGGGCUAAGUUCGUGCCAGCAGCCGCGGUAAGACGAACCGUCCAAACGUUAUUCGGAAUCACUGGGCUUAAAGGGCGCGUAGGCGGCCGAGCGGGUCGCGGGUGAAAUCCUCCAGCUUAACUGGAGAACUGCCCUCGAUACCACUGCGGCUCGAGGAAGGAAGGGGCAAUCGGAACUGUCGGUGGAGCGGUGAAAUGCGUUGAUAUCGACAGGAACGCCGGUGGCGAAAGCGGAUUGCUGGUCCUUUUCUGACGCUGAGGCGCGAAAGCCAGGGGAGCAAACGGGAUUAGAUACCCCCGUAGUCCCUGAGCGGGCUGGCAAGGCGCAU